This 169-nucleotide microRNA precursor is filed under the name Oryza longistaminata (longstamen rice). Its description in RNAcentral is "pre miRNA MIR2118". The record is from RNAcentral. Lineage: Eukaryota; Viridiplantae; Streptophyta; Magnoliopsida; Poales; Poaceae.
AACUGUUACCAAGGGAGAAAAACUGAGGGGGUGUUUGGGAGAGAGGGGCUAAACUUUAGCCCCUCUCUCAAAAACAAAAGUCCCUAGACUUAUGUUUUUGAGAGAGGGGCUAAAGUUUAGCCCCUCUCUCCCAAACACCCCCUCAGUUUUUCUCCCUUGGUAACAGUUG